AUCUAACGAGGAGUAAAGAUUCAUUGGUGAUGGAUGGGGAUGCGUCUGAUUAGGUUGUUGGCGGGGUAACGGCCCACCAAGCCUACGAUCAGUAGGGGUUCUGAGAGGAAGGUCCCCCACAUUGGAACUGAGACACGGUCCAAACUCCUACGGGAGGCAGCAGUGAGGAAUAUUGGUCAAUGGACGGAAGUCUGAACCAGCCAAGUAGCGUGCAGGAUGACGGCCCUAUGGGUUGUAAACUGCUUUUGUGCGGGAAUAAAGUGAGGGACGUGUCCCUUUUUGCAUGUACCGCACGAAUAAGGACCGGCUAAUUCCGUGCCAGCAGCCGCGGUAAUACGGAAGGUCCGGGCGUUAUCCGGAUUUAUUGGGUUUAAAGGGAGCGUAGGCCGGAUAUUAAGCGUGUUGUGAAAUGUAGAUGCUCAACGUCUGCACUGCAGCGCGAACUGGUGUCCUUGAGUGCGCAGGAAGUCGGCGGAAUUCGUUGUGUAGCGGUGAAAUGCUUAGAUAUGACGAAGAACUCCGAUUGCGAAGGCAGCUGACUGUAGCGUUACUGACGCUGAAGCUCGAAGGUGCGGGUAUC
Molecule: ribosomal RNA, 580 nt
Filed under: uncultured rumen bacterium
Lineage: Bacteria
Description: bacterial SSU rRNA
Rfam family: Bacterial small subunit ribosomal RNA
Source: RNAcentral